RNAcentral lists this long non-coding RNA (637 nucleotides) under Melopsittacus undulatus (budgerigar). RNAcentral's name for it is "lncRNA (ENSMUNG00000004988.2)". The record is from RNAcentral. Lineage: Eukaryota; Metazoa; Chordata; Aves; Psittaciformes; Psittaculidae.
UGAAGUCAAGCCAUCAUCAUUAUUAUUGGUUGUAGCAGUAGUAGUUUUGUGUUAUACCUUAGUUACUGGACUGUUCUUAUCUCAACCAGUGGGAACUAUUUGCUUUUGAUUCUCCUCCCCAUCCCUCUGGGAGCAGGGGGAGGAAGAAGUGGGGAGAGUGAGUGAGCAGCUACGUGGUUUUGAGACUGUUUUGGCUGGACUUAAACCACGACACCAUGAUAUGGCUCAGAGUAUUUUCUGAAAAAGUCCUGCAGUGCAGAGGAGUCAAACAUUUGAUCACAUGCAGCAGCACAAGAUAGAUGGAGUACAGCUGACUCAACAGCUACAGGGGAUUUGGAAUGGAAACAAUCACUUGCUUGAAGGAAACAAUGUUAUCCAACUUGUGGUGUCAGUCAGCCUAUUCCCACAGUCACUGCAUUGAUGGAGGAAAAUUUUGGUCUCUUGAUGUCAAAGUUUUCUAAUGUAGUCUGAAGAGUGUGAAUGAAACAAGACUUUUUCCAAAAUUCUUCAAUUAUGGUCCAAAGUUUUGACCAUAAAGCACUUCUUUCAAACAUGCUUUCCUUUCAAGUCUGCUCUCACUGACAUUCUCCAUAUCUGUAUGAAUGUCCUGUGGGAAACAGCGGUUAGCACAUGCAGG